GCUGGUGCAUGCUGCCUGUUUGGUGGUCC
Molecule: non-coding RNA, 29 nt
Filed under: Mus musculus (house mouse)
Lineage: Eukaryota; Metazoa; Chordata; Mammalia; Rodentia; Muridae
Source: RNAcentral